AGGGGCAGAGACAGAUCUGUGUAAUGACAGAUUAGAAGCAUGUAUUGGGUGGACUAGCCGGGGUUUCUGUCAACAUCCUUCCUAUAUAAAUUACAUGACUAGAAAUUGCAGGAAGUCAUGCGGUGUGUGUUCAAUAUUAAAAGGAGCUUGCGAAGAUGAACACAAUUCGUGUGAAUAUUGGUCCAAGUUGAGAUACUGUGAAACUGGACUUUACAAACCAUAUGUUGAAAAAGUGUGUAAAAAGUCGUGUAGAUUUUGUUAAGGUACAAUGCGAUAUUGACGAAGUGAAAAAAGGUGGACUACGCCAGACUGUCACUGAACAAAUUAU
Molecule: long non-coding RNA, 328 nt
Organism: Patella vulgata (common limpet)
Lineage: Eukaryota; Metazoa; Mollusca; Gastropoda; Patellidae
Exons: 3
Source: RefSeq, a predicted model, not a curated record